GACGAACGCUGGCGGCGUGCUUAACACAUGCAAGUCGAACGGAAAGGCCCUGAUUUUGUGGGGUGCUCGAGUGGCGAACGGGGGAGUAACACGUGAGUAACCUGCCCUAGACUUUGGGAUAACUUCAGGAAACUGGGGUUAAUACCGGAUAGGAGCUGAUGCUGCAUGGUGGGGGUUGGAUAGUUUCGGCGGUUGGGGAUGGACUCGCGGCUUAUCAGCUUGUUGGUGGGGUAGUGGCUUACCAAGGCUUGGACGGGUAGCCGGCCUGAGAGGGUGACCGGCCACAUUGGGACUGAGAUACGGCCCAGACGCCUACGGGAGGCAGCAGUGGGGAAUAUUGCACAAUGGGCGGAAGCCUGAUGCAGCAACGCCGCGUGCUGGAUGACGGCCUUCGGGUUAUAAACCGCUUUCGCCUGUGACGAAGCGUGAGUGACGGUAAUGGGUAAAGAAGCACCGGCUAACUACGUG
RNAcentral lists this ribosomal RNA (468 nucleotides) under uncultured bacterium. RNAcentral's name for it is "partial 16S ribosomal RNA". It matches the Rfam family "Bacterial small subunit ribosomal RNA", at positions 28 to 507 of the family's 1533-position model. The record is from RNAcentral.